This 394-nucleotide unclassified non-coding RNA is filed under the name Bombus terrestris (buff-tailed bumblebee). Its description in RNAcentral is "misc RNA ENSBTSG00005037719.1". The record is from RNAcentral. Lineage: Eukaryota; Metazoa; Arthropoda; Insecta; Hymenoptera; Apidae.
CAAGAGCGUUAUUUUUUAGUAUUAAUUAUUUAUUAUAAACAUUGAAAUUUACAGUUAACUAGAAUUUGGGUAAUAAACUAGAAAACUAAAUUUAGUAAAUAUAACACAAGUUAAUAAUUCAGUUGUGUGUGCAAAAUUUCAAAACAAUUAUCGAUACAUAAUCCGACAUCGCAUUUUCUGUAUUCCCUUAUUUUUCACACAAACAACACAUUUUCUUCUUGAUAAUUAGAUGCGACUGUCCGCGAAACAGGUGUUCGGAAAAAUUGAAAAACGCAUACAUGCGUCCUUAGUCCAUGCCGGGCACUUACAGAAAACGCAUAUAUAUGUCCUUAGUCCACACCGAUAGCUUUCGCCAGACGCCUAUAUGCGCCCAUAGCACUCUAAGGGUUAAAGA